UUGGACAUGAUACGCAGGUUUGAUUCAAGUUCGUCAAAACUGUCACUUUAUUGUCCAAAGAGUGAAAGUGCCUUCUGAUGACCAUGCUAUUUGCAGACCCUUGGUAUGGACAGAUACGGGGCAAAUAAUA
RNAcentral lists this small nucleolar RNA (130 nucleotides) under Penaeus vannamei (Pacific white shrimp). RNAcentral describes it as "small Cajal body-specific RNA 8". It matches the Rfam family "Small Cajal body specific RNA 8". Rfam says of the family: scaRNAs are a specific class of small nuclear RNAs which localise to the Cajal bodies and guide the modification of RNA polymerase II transcribed spliceosomal RNAs U1, U2, U4, U5 and U12. U92 belong to the H/ACA box class of guide RNAs as it has the predicted hairpin-hinge-hairpin-tail structure, conserved H/ACA-box motifs and is found associated with GAR1. Its is predicted to guide the pseudouridylation of residues U44 in U2 snRNA. The record is from Rfam by way of RNAcentral. Lineage: Eukaryota; Metazoa; Arthropoda; Malacostraca; Decapoda; Penaeidae.